Molecule: long non-coding RNA, 2498 nt
Filed under: Nicotiana tabacum (common tobacco)
Lineage: Eukaryota; Viridiplantae; Streptophyta; Magnoliopsida; Solanales; Solanaceae
Description: long non-coding RNA (NTAB_LNC007652)
Source: RNAcentral
GAUGAUUAAAUUUACCAAUUCAAUUGUUUAACAAAGUCUCCCUUUCGGGUCCAUUUUUUUUCCUUUUAAAAUCUUGACUUUUUCCAAGGCUCUCAUUAGUAUUUAUGUUCAAAGUUUCCCAUCAGUUUCAUUCUUUAUUUUUCAUUUAAAAUCUUGUCGUUGUUCAAAAAGAUUCCUCAACUUAAAAGACAAGUGGAUAGAAAGCUGGAUCUCGAUAUGUAUGGUGGAUUGAUAUAUAGUCGUGUUCAUUCCUUUUUAACUAUACGUAGAUGAAAAGAUACUUGAGUACUAAAUCAAUUUUCUUUAAUUGAGAGCUAAAUUUAUUUUCGUCCAUCCUCAAUGCUCGAACAAUCUAUAUAUAAUUAUAAAGCAGGGCUUUAGACCACUGACGUGGCAUCCGUCAUUGAACAGGAAUGAUAUUUAUCUAAUUUCUCAAUUUUUUGAGCUUUUUCUUCUUUAUUUUAGGAUUCAUCCAUCCCGAAAAGGCGGAGCAUUCACAAUUUCCUGAGCCGUUUCAAACCAACACGUUUCAGAGCAAAUUCCCCAAACCGUUUCAAACCAGCACGUUUCAGAGCAAUUAUUCCACCGCUUCAAUUGCGAGCACUUAAAGCAAAAAAUGAAACAACAAGGCGGAUUCAAUUUCAAUGGUGCUUUAUUAUUUCCAUUACCUUCUUAAUCCGCAACUACCAGUCCUUGAUUUCCAAUGAAUCAUAUCUCAAGCUUGGAUACACACCGAUGAUUACAAAUCCCUUACUGUUCGACAUGGGUAAUUCUUUUCACUACCUAACCCUAAUCCCCUCUUAUUUUGUUUCUUUAAAAUUUUCUUGGUUAUAUACUUAUGAUAAUUGAAACGCAUGAAUUGAAUAUUGUUUGUUACUCUUUUGGAUUGUGCAGUAUUGUGAUUACAUUCACUUUCAGCAUCCAAGAAAAUUUCUGGUUCUCUUAAAUAUUUCUCAAUUAAUGUAAAGAUGAGGAUAACGAGAGUUAUUUUGCAGUAUUGUGAUUACAUUCACUUCCAGCAUCCAAGAAAAUUUUUGGUUUUCUCUUAAAUAUUUCUCAAUUAAUGUAAAGAUGAGGAUAACGAGAGUUAUUUUGCAGUAUUGUGAUUACAUUCACUUCCAAUAUCCAAGAAAAUUUCUGGUUUUCUCUUAAAUAUUUCUCAAUUAAUGUAAGAUGAGGAUAACGAGAGUUAUAGUAGUAUGGUUGAGGAAACAUAAUCAAGCUAUUGUGGGUUAUUAUAACUAAGUUUGUUUGCAGAUAUCAUUUGAAUGGUAAAGGUUUUUCUGAUAUUAUUGUUUGAGACACUUGUGGUGGUGCUAAAGAGCAGUUUCACUACAAAUAUUUCAAUUAUUAACGCAGGAGAUGGUCCUAGAAAACAUCCAGCUCAGGUUUGCACCUCACGUAAUUAAAAUAAUUGCUUUAAUAGACUGUUACAGUUAUCGGAGCGGCAAGCUAACCAACCAUGGGAAUUCUUUGAAACUUUUUUCUCCUUUGCUUCUUCUUCCUUUCCUUUUUGGCCUUCACAUUGUUAGUCUGGAGAGUGAGAUUUAUAUUAAGAAAAAAGAAGAGUGCAAAAAGAAAAACUGAGAAUAGUGUUUGCAAUUGGUAUUUGCAGCAUUUAUAGGUUCUAUAAUUGUGCUGAAAGUACACUUAGUGUGAAUAGUACUGAUAUAAUAAUUCAGUUUGUAUGUAGUUUCAUGUUCAACUAAGAUGUCAAUUUUACAAAAUUUAGCACCUCUGGUUUCUCUUUUUAUUGUUUUUAAUUACAUUGAGGGUAGUAUAGAGACUGAAACUUGGUAUUGUAGGCUUAUCUUGAUUUUUACUGGCUAUUUGCUCUAUGUUGAUCAGUUUGUGUGUCAUUGCUUCAUCUGAUGAAUCAAAUGUGCAAUAGAUAUUAGACUAUUAAGGUGGUCGUAGUAGUUGUUUCAAGAUAUGCUUCAUUUUUUCGUAGAUUUGACUGAUUUACCUUCCUUAGGAAAGAUCAGAAAAGGAAAACGCUUCUGCAAUGUAAUUUUGUGUUCUUAAAAUAAGUUCACAUGUUCUUGGGUAUUGACACAACAUUCAAAUUCACUAACGCUUCUAUUGGAAAUUAAAAUUGCAUAUACAAGAUUCUUCAUGUAUAUGAAGUUGAAAAAGAUAAGUCAGAUGCUUCUUAUGUGGGAUGGCACGAAUACUCCAUUAGUCACUAUCAAUUAUCUAAACAAAGUGAGUGCUUUUUACUUUCCUAAGUAGGCUUUGAACUCGGAGUACACUUGUGAUGUCAGUAGACAAAGUUCAAUUAGGAGAGGUGCGCAGUGGAAUGGAACUUUACCAAGCCGAAGUGGCUUACUCUUGCAAUAGCUUUAUUCUGCUUACAAUCGUUUGGGUUACAUCUUUAUCAAGGCCUCAAGGGCUAUAUAUGGACAUACUGAAGAACAACAACACUAAUGUAUAUAUGGUAAAAUUCUCUUCCACUUUUUUUUCUUCCUUUUGCAUUAUUUUGUGGAGGCAACAUAUCN